Pyrus x bretschneideri (Chinese white pear) is the source of this 1480-nucleotide RNA transcript. RefSeq lists it as uncharacterized. NCBI's taxonomy places the organism in Eukaryota, Viridiplantae, Streptophyta, Magnoliopsida, Rosales, Rosaceae. The record is from RefSeq and is a predicted model, not a curated record. The transcript has 9 exons.
UGAAAAAGAGUACAGUUGCCAGUUCAGUUAUCAGUCAAAACCAGAGAGUUUUACGGUUCCCACGAUCGAAACUAGAGAGCAGUUUAAUGUUCCCACGAUCUGAGUUCAGUUGAAGGUUAAACAAUAACUACCCACAUACCACCGCUACACACAGAUGAAUCAUCGAAAAGAGCCCAAUCUUCGGAACCAGACUCUGGAACGCAUCUCGGAACCCAUCCUUCUUCACACCUUCGAUCCCGGACGCCCACUUUCAGGAGCCCAUCUCUUGGCCGUGUUCCUCCACCUACGCUGCCGCCGCCUUCAUUGCCAUCUUCUCCAGCGGAGAGGGAGAGGGCACCCAAAAAAAUUGCAACUUGCUCAGGGUAAGCUCUGGAAAAUUAGCUCAAUCGGAUCUGCAAAUGGGAGGAAUACCUAACAGCAGCAGAAACAGAGUUCACAGGAGCUAAGCGGCUACUAAGAAGCAAAGACUCACAACAUGCAUAUUGACUUAAAAUGGUCUUGUUCUCUUUUGUUUCUCUUCCAUGUUUUGUUGUAUGUUUAACCAUUCUAUUUUCUAUUUUGUUUUCGUAGCUCUUUUUGCUUUCGAAGUUUACUGCUCGGUUAAAUAUUUGUACUAAAUUCUUCAUCUUGUUAAGAUUGGGUAAAUUUAGGGAUUCAUGAUUGGGUCCGUGGUUGAAGCUCAGGAAAAUUAGCUCAAUUGGAUCUGCAAAUGGGAGGAAUACCUAACAACAGCAGGGUAAGCUCCGGAAAAUUAGCUCAAUCAGAUCUGCAAAUGGGAGGAAUACCUAACAGCAGCAAGUAUUGCAGUGACUGUUGUUGAACUGCUUCCCUGUGGAGCUGCUUAUUGGUCUAGGGAGUUUUUGUGUAAAAUGAGACGUAGUGUUUAUCUAUUUCCUAGUAACCUCCGACAACUACCCCGAUAUUCUAUCAAAUUCUUUUUUCAUUCCCUCUCCCAGGUUUCCAUUCCACCAUUUUCAGCGAUUAAAGCUGUGUAUCACCGUUAAAAUGAAUUAGUGGAUCAUUCAAACAGAAGUACAAACAGAAUUACUGCAUUACUAAGUUUUAAGAUUUCCAGAGGACUUCAACAUAUCAAGUAUGGAGGGAAUUGAUAGAACCAAUAUGUUAGAGGUCGGCAAUAAAGGAGUUCACUUCGGACAAACAAAUGUUCACAAUUCUCAACAGUCAAACAAGAGGUAUCGUAGGAGCCAUCAACAAGGGCAAAGACGACAAUCUAUGAAUUCAUCACAGCGAGCUUGAAUUUCAAUGCGACGACAUGCAAAUUAUCAAACCCGAUUGAACUCGGUAAAUAUAGUACAAAAUCAAACGGAAGUAAACCAAGAUGACAUAAGACCAACAUAUUUCUUUUUUUUUUUUUUUUGUCUCUAUUAAUUAUAUAUUUGUAAAUCCAUAUGUUGUAUGAAUAUUUUUUUGUACAAAUUAUUAAGACACAUCCAUUAAGAUUGAACGAAUAGUUGUUUUA